GUUCAGCAUCCACGUUCUUCGCGUAUUUUUUGUGCAUUUUUUGUUUCAGUGUGAGAAUUCAAAUUAAAAGCCAAAUAGCAGUGCAAAAUGUUAAAGUGAAGUGUGUGUUGUGUUGUUUAUAUUGAUUUGCUGCUAUUAUUUAAUAUGCCAUAACCAUUUACUAAGUGCAAAUUCUUGUUGGCAAUAUUUCCAUGCAUGCAUGCAUACAUACAUAAAUAAAUAUAUGUAGGUAUAUGUGUGAGGGGGGCAUUUCGAAUGAUCGCAGCGAAUAUCGAAAAUGAGAACGCAAAAUAAACAAAUCAUAAAUCUGGGAAAAUGUGCGCGACCAACGACCACCCAAAAGGGGCAACACGAACAUCUUUUAGCUUGCAUCACUGAUAUAAGGAGCAUCAAGUAAGAAUCAAGGUAAACUAUAAUCAUAAGAC
Molecule: small RNA, 425 nt
Filed under: Drosophila mojavensis
Lineage: Eukaryota; Metazoa; Arthropoda; Insecta; Diptera; Drosophilidae
Description: GI26018
Source: RNAcentral